GCUGCCCGGGCCCUGAUUCCUUUAGAGGAGAAGCCCCGGUCUCCUCCACCCCGGCAGGCAUGCACAUGAGGAAGGGGGAGGACAGCAAAGAUGAGUUCUGAUUUAAAGAGGCUGAUCCAACAGCAGCUGCCCAGGGAAAAUCUGUACGGCCCUCCCAAGGAGUAGAGCUGGGGAGCACCUGUUGCAAGGACAGGGAAAGAGGAUGAAGGGUCUUCAGUUCAGCAGAUUUAAACCUUGCAAUCAUUUCCUAGGAGCUGGAUACCUGAUACAAGGGAUGUUUUGAAGGAUUUAUCCUGCUGCCCAUCAUCAUAGUAUCUCCCAUGUAAAAUCAGCAUCAGGAGCUAGCUCCCCAGUGCCUUCACUGAGUCUCCAGCACUUCUCUCCUUAUGGAGUCAG
Caretta caretta (loggerhead turtle) is the source of this 396-nucleotide long non-coding RNA. RefSeq lists it as uncharacterized. The record is from RefSeq and is a predicted model, not a curated record. NCBI's taxonomy places the organism in Eukaryota, Metazoa, Chordata, Testudines, Cheloniidae.